UUUACGUUCUCCUUUGAAUCCUCAUCGAAACGCUUUUCGUUUCGUCUCAAUCGGAGUUUCCGUCGAGAAUUUACGACGAAAACAAGUUGGACUCGUCUUGGCUCCCUUCCACUCGCUAUAGCGACCGAGAUGACAUCCUCACUCGCUAUAGCGACCUGUCAGGCCUCAAAGGGGUCCUCCUUUGCGUUCUCCUUUGAAUCCUCAUCAAAACGCUUUUCGUUUCGUCUCAAUCGGAGUUUUCGUUGAGAUUUUACGACAAAAACAAGUAAAACUCAUCUUAAACUCCUUGGCUUGUUCCUGCUCGCCCUACCUCCAUCUUUGCGUUCACUUUCGAAUCUCGAUCGAAACGUCUCUUGUUUC
This 360-nucleotide long non-coding RNA is filed under the name Brassica napus (rape). RNAcentral describes it as "long non-coding RNA (BNAP_LNC024343)". Lineage: Eukaryota; Viridiplantae; Streptophyta; Magnoliopsida; Brassicales; Brassicaceae. The record is from RNAcentral.